This is a non-coding RNA of Cercophora newfieldiana, 114 nucleotides long. The record is from the annotation of a GenBank genome assembly. Lineage: Eukaryota; Fungi; Ascomycota; Sordariomycetes; Sordariales; Lasiosphaeriaceae.
UCCCCCAUGGCGCAACCGGCUAGCGCGUCAGACUGUUAUUCUCUCUUCUCAUCUUCUCUUGGGACAGAUGCGAUAGAAAUCUGGAGGCUGUUAGUUCGAUCCUAACUGGGGGAG